CUCCCAGGGACACGCACACCAGGCUUGCCCUUUGGAGCCUCUCCUGACCUUGGCCAGUGUGGGAGCUGCUGUCCCUGGGAGGAUCCGCCGCCCGCCCCAGGCGCUCACCAGCCUGGCUUCCACACCUGCUACCCACAGGGGCUGCCGGGGCCUACAUGGCGUGGCGAGGGCCAGGGAUGGUGAGCGCCCCACCCAUUCCUUCAUCCGUCACCUAAUAAAUGUGCUCUGAGGGUCCCAGUCCCCACUUUUUAGGCCACAGACUGUGGGGAUGUGGGAGGUCAGGUUUCAGCUAUUUUAGUGCAACCGAAGGUGCAUGUUGGGGGAUGUGGCUGGGGCGCCUGGGCCCUGGGACCCGUGCCCUGUGCAGCCGAGGCUGUUGCCCGCAGGAUUCAGUGCCCGGCCAUCCUGGCUGCCCUGGCCACCCUCCUGGGAGCUGUCCUCAGCUUCACCUGCAUCCCCGCCAGCACUAAAGGGGCCAAAACUGACGCCCAGGCUCCACUGCCAGGCGGCCCCCGGGCCAGUGUGUUCGACCUGAAGGCCAUCGCCUCCCUGCUGCGGCUGCCAGACGUCCCGAGGAUCUUCCUGGUGAAGGUGGCCUCCAACUUCCCCACAGGGCUCUUCAUGGUCAUGUUCUCCAUCAUCUCCAUGGACUUCUUCCAGCUGGAGGCCGCCCAAGCUGGCUACCUCAUGUCCUUCUUCGGGCUCCUCCAGAUGGUGACCCAGGGCCUGGUCAUCGGGCAGCUGAGCAGCCACUUCUCAGAGGAGGCGCUGCUCCGGGCCAGCGUGCUGGUCUUCAUCGUGGUGGGCCUGGCCAUGGCCUGGAUGUCCAGCGUCUUCCACUUCUGCCUCCUGGUGCCUGGCCUGGUGUUUAGCCUCUGCGCCCUCAACGUGGUCACUGACAGCAUGCUGACCAAGGCCGUCUCCUCCUCGGACACAGGGACCAUGCUGGGCCUCUGCGCCUCUGUACAACCACUGCUCCGAACUCUGGGACCCACGGUCGGCGGCCUCCUGUACCGCAGCUUUGGCGUCC
RNAcentral lists this small RNA (1030 nucleotides) under Pongo abelii (Sumatran orangutan). RNAcentral's name for it is "retained intron". Lineage: Eukaryota; Metazoa; Chordata; Mammalia; Primates; Hominidae. The record is from RNAcentral.